GAUGAACGCUGGCGGCGUGCCUAAUACAUGCAAGUCGAGCGAACAGAUAAGGAGCUUGCUCCGUUGACGUUAGCGGCGGACGGGUGAGUAACACGUGGGUAACCUACCUAUAAGACUGGAAUAACUCCGGGAAACCGGGUCUAAUGCCGGAUAACAUUUAGAACCGCAUGGUUCUAAAGUGAAAUAUGGUUUUGCUAUCACUUAUAGAUGGACCCGCGCCGUAUUAGCUAGUUGGUAAGUUAACGGCUUACCAAGGGAACGAUACGUAGCCGAACUGAGAGGGUGAUAGGCGCCACUGGAACUGAGACACGGUCCAGACUCCUACGGGAGGCAGCAGUAGGGAAUCUGACGCAAUGGGCGAAAGCCUGACGGAGCAACGCCGCGUGAGUGAUGACGGUCUUCGGAUCGUAAAACUCUGUUAUUAGGGAAGAACAAAUGUGUAAGUAACUGUGCACGUCUUGACGGUACCUAAUCAGAAAGCCACGGCUAACUACGUG
RNAcentral lists this ribosomal RNA (497 nucleotides) under uncultured bacterium. RNAcentral describes it as "partial 16S ribosomal RNA". It matches the Rfam family "Bacterial small subunit ribosomal RNA", at positions 28 to 507 of the family's 1533-position model. The record is from RNAcentral.